Molecule: ribosomal RNA, 301 nt
Filed under: uncultured bacterium
Lineage: Bacteria
Description: partial 16S ribosomal RNA
Rfam family: Bacterial small subunit ribosomal RNA
Source: RNAcentral
CAGUAGCCGCGGUAAUGCGAACCGUGCGAACGUUAUUCGGAUUUACUGGGCGUAAAGGGCGUGUAGGCGGCCUGGGGCGUCCCAUGUGAAAGGCCACGGCUCAACCGUGGAGGAGCGUGGGAUACGCUCAGGCUAGAGGGUGGGAGAGGGUGGUGGAAUUCCCGGAGUAGCGGUGAAAUGCGCAGAUACCGGGAGGAACGCCGAUGGCGAAAGCGGCUCACUGGACCAUUUCUGACGCUGAUGCACGAAAGCUAGGGGAGCAAACAGGAUUAGAUACCCCCGUAGUCCCUGUCUCUUAUAC